This 345-nucleotide ribosomal RNA is filed under the name Haptolina brevifila. Its description in RNAcentral is "partial Eukaryotic large subunit ribosomal RNA". It matches the Rfam family "Eukaryotic large subunit ribosomal RNA", at positions 1528 to 1863 of the family's 3401-position model. Lineage: Eukaryota; Haptophyta; Prymnesiales; Prymnesiaceae. The record is from RNAcentral.
ACAUGGGUUAGUCGAUCCUAAGGCUCAGAGUAACUCCGUUAUAAGGCGGGCUUUUUUCGGAAAGCCCCGGUGGCCGAAAGGGAAGAAGGUUAAAAUUCCUUCACCUGGACGUGGAUAACGAGUGGUAACACAAGCAAAACUGGAGACGUCGGCUGGAGUCCCGGGAAGAGUUCUCUUUUCUUGUUAACAGUUCCGCAGGCCCUGGAAUCGGAUUAUCCGGCGAUAGGGUCUGGUGGCUGGGAAAGCAGCUUAAUCUUUGAGCUGUCCGGUGCUCUCCAGACGGCCCUUGAAAAUCCGGUGGCGUGACUUAUUUACACCCCAGGUCGUACUCAUAACCGCAUCAGG